RNAcentral lists this ribosomal RNA (411 nucleotides) under uncultured Rhizophagus. RNAcentral describes it as "partial 28S ribosomal RNA". Lineage: Eukaryota; Fungi; Glomeromycota; Glomeromycetes; Glomerales; Glomeraceae. The record is from RNAcentral.
GAGAGUUAAACAGUACGUGAAAUUGUUGAAAGGGAAACGAUUGAAGCCAGUCGUACCUGCGGGUAAUCAGCCUUUUGGGCAUGAUUCUGUGGAGCGUGAGGAGUUAAACGCCUUCAUGCCUGCAUAUUCGUGUACUUUGGGUGUACUUGCCUGUGUGGUUAGUUAACAUCAAUUUUGGUUAUCAUAAAAUGGCUGGAGGAAUGUAGCUUCGAUUUCGAUUGAAGUGUUAUAGCCUUCGGCAGAUGUGAUGAUCGGGAUUGAGGAUUGCAACGGAUACCCUUCGGGGCUACCUGUCUGGUCUCUGAUCGUUGCUCUGGUGCCGAAAGCGUGCUUACGGUUAUCAAAGUCGAUGGUCAAUAGGUUAGAACGGGUUAAAUUCGUUAAGGAUGUUGACGUAAUGGCUUUAAACGA